GGCUGUGAGGGUGAUCCGGCUUCGGCAUCUGCCUCCCCCUUGGUAGCCAGGGUUGAUCUAGCCUAUCCGGCUGAUGAGGCAGAUGUCCCGUCCUCCCUUACCGCUUCAUGUGCGCCCCUCCUGAAACUGCACGCUCAGCGGAAGAGGAAGACCUUUCCCGACACAGGAGGAACCUUCUUUAGUCCAGGGUAUACGAGUAGCGGCACUGCCCUGCUAGAACCUCCAAACAAGCUCUCAAAGUAAUGUGAGGAAAAGUGACAUGUUUUCACGAUUGGGUUAAAGUAUUUAAAAGGGAAGUGGUGCUGG
RNAcentral lists this small nuclear RNA (306 nucleotides) under Propithecus coquereli (Coquerel's sifaka). RNAcentral describes it as "7SK RNA (ENSPCOG00000008255.1)". It matches the Rfam family "7SK RNA". Rfam says of the family: 7SK was discovered as an abundant small nuclear RNA in the mid-70s but a possible function has only recently been suggested. Two independent studies have found that 7SK RNA binds the CDK9/cyclin T complex (known as elongation factor P-TEFb). P-TEFb activates transcription by phosphorylating the C-terminal domain of RNA polymerase II. Lineage: Eukaryota; Metazoa; Chordata; Mammalia; Primates; Indriidae. The record is from RNAcentral.